This 46-nucleotide non-coding RNA is filed under the name Trichobilharzia regenti. The record is from RNAcentral. Lineage: Eukaryota; Metazoa; Platyhelminthes; Trematoda; Strigeidida; Schistosomatidae.
GUAUUGAUGAAGAGUCCCAAACUAGGACGAAACAGCUAUCCAGUAC